RNAcentral lists this ribosomal RNA (490 nucleotides) under uncultured bacterium. RNAcentral describes it as "partial 16S ribosomal RNA". It matches the Rfam family "Bacterial small subunit ribosomal RNA", at positions 28 to 507 of the family's 1533-position model. The record is from RNAcentral.
GAUGAACGCUAGCGAUAGGCUUAACACAUGCAAGUCGAGGGGCAGCAUGGUCUUAGCUUGCUAAGGCUGAUGGCGACCGGCGCACGGGUGCGUAACGCGUAUGCAACUUGCCUCACAGAGGGGGAUAACCCGUCGAAAGACGGACUAAUACCGCGUACACUCUAUGUUGGGCAUCCAAUGUAGAGGAAAUGAAAUUCGCUGUGAGAUAGGCAUGCGUCCCAUUAGCUAGUUGGUGAGGUAACGGCUCACCAAGGCGACGAUGGGUAGGGGAACUGAGAGGUUGAACCCCCACACUGGUACUGAGACACGGACCAGACUCAUACGGGAGGCAGCAGUGAGGAAUAUUGGUCAAUGGGCGAGAGCCUGAACCAGCCAAGUCGCGUGAAGGAUGACUGUCUUAUGGAUUGUAAACUUCUUUUAUACGGGAAUAACAAGAGUCACGUGUGGCUCCCUGCAUGUACCGUAUGAAUAAGCAUCGGCUAACUCCGUG